RNAcentral lists this ribosomal RNA (548 nucleotides) under Nakaseomyces glabratus. RNAcentral's name for it is "eukaryotic LSU rRNA". It matches the Rfam family "Eukaryotic large subunit ribosomal RNA", at positions 67 to 618 of the family's 3401-position model. Lineage: Eukaryota; Fungi; Ascomycota; Saccharomycetes; Saccharomycetales; Saccharomycetaceae. The record is from RNAcentral.
AACUGGGAUUGCCUUAGUAACGGCGAGUGAAGCGGCAAAAGCUCAAAUUUGAAAUCUGGUACCUUUGGUGCCCGAGUUGUAAUUUGGAGAGUACCACUUUGGGACUGUACUUUGCCUAUGUUCCUUGGAACAGGACGUCAUGGAGGGUGAGAAUCCCGUGUGGCGAGGGUGUCAGUUCUUUGUAAAGGGUGCUCGAAGAGUCGAGUUGUUUGGGAAUGCAGCUCUAAGUGGGUGGUAAAUUCCAUCUAAAGCUAAAUACAGGCGAGAGACCGAUAGCGAACAAGUACAGUGAUGGAAAGAUGAAAAGAACUUUGAAAAGAGAGUGAAAAAGUACGUGAAAUUGUUGAAAGGGAAGGGCAUUUGAUCAGACAUGGUGUUUUGCGCCCCUUGCCUCUCGUGGGCUUGGGACUCUCGCAGCUCACUGGGCCAGCAUCGGUUUUGGCGGCCGGAAAAAACCUAGGGAAUGUGGCUCUGCGCCUCGGUGUAGAGUGUUAUAGCCCUGGGGAAUACGGCCAGCCGGGACCGAGGACUGCGAUACUUGUUAUCUA